AUGCAAGUCGGACGGUAGCACAGAGGAGCUUGCUCCUCGGGUGACGAGUGGCGGACGGGUGAGUAAUGUCUGGGGAUCUGCCCGAUAGAGGGGGAUAACCACUGGAAACGGGGGCUAAUACCGCAUAACGUCGCAAGACCAAAGAGGGGGACCUUCGGGCCUCUCACUAUCGGAUGAACCCAGAUGGGAUUAGCUAGUAGGCGGGGUAACGGCCCACCUAGGCGACGAUCCCUAGCUGGUCUGAGAGGAUGACCAGCCACACUGGAACUGAGACACGGUCCAGACUCCUACGGGAGGCAGCAGUGGGGAAUAUUGCACAAUGGGCGCAAGCCUGAUGCACCCAUGCCGCGUGUAUGAAGAAGGCCUUCGGGUUGUAAAGUACUUUCAGCGGGGAGGAAGGCGAUGUGGUUAAUAACCGCGUCGAUUGACGUUACCCGCAAAAGAAGCACCGGCUAACUCCGUGCCAGCAGCCGCGGUAAUACAGAGGGUGCAAGCGUUAAUCAGAAUUACUGGGCGUAAAGCGCACGCAGGCGGUCUGUUAAGUCAGAUGUGAAAUCCCCGGGCUUAACCUGGGAACUGCAUUUGAAACUGGCAGGCUUGAGUCUCGUAGAGGGGGGUAGAAUUCCAGGUGUAGCGGUGAAAUGCGUAGAGAUCUGGAGGAAUACCGGUGGCGAAGGCGGCCCCCUGGACGAAGACUGACGCUCAGGUGCGAAAGCGUGGGGAGCAAACAGGAUUAGAUACCCUGGUAGUCCACGCCGUAAACGAUGUCGACUUGGAGGUUGUUCCCUUGAGGAGUGGCUUCCGGAGCUAACGCGUUAAGUCGACCGCCUGGGGAGUACGGCCGCAAGGUUAAAACUCAAAUGAAUUGACGGGGGCCCGCAUAAGCGGUGGAGCAUGUGGUUUAAUUCGAUGCAACGCGAAGAACCUUACCUACUCUUGACAUCCAGAGAAUUUAGCAGAGAUGCUUUGGUGCCUUCGGGAACCGUGAGACAGGUGCUGCAUGGCUGUCGUCAGCUCGUGUUGUGAAAUGUUGGGUUAAGUCCCGCAACGAGCGCAACCCUUAUCCUUUGUUGCCAGCGAUUCGGUCGGGAACUCAAAGGAGACUGCCGGUGAUAAACCGGAGGAAGGUGGGGAUGACGUCAAGUCAUCAUGGCCCUUACGAGUAGGGCUACACACGUGCUACAAUGGCGCAUACAAAGAGAAGCGACCUCGCGAGAGCAAGCGGACCUCAUAAAGUGCGUCGUAGUCCGGAUCGGAGUCUGCAACUCGACUCCGUGAAGUCGGAAUCGCUAGUAAUCGUGGAUCAGAAUGCCACGGUGAAUACGUUCCCGGGCCUUGUACACACCGCCCGUCACACCAUGGGAGUGGGUUGCAAAAGAAGUAGGUAGCUUAACCUUCGGGAGGGCGCUUA
RNAcentral lists this ribosomal RNA (1411 nucleotides) under Pantoea sp. Fse18. RNAcentral's name for it is "bacterial SSU rRNA". It matches the Rfam family "Bacterial small subunit ribosomal RNA". Lineage: Bacteria; Pseudomonadati; Pseudomonadota; Gammaproteobacteria; Enterobacterales; Erwiniaceae. RNAcentral also lists the same sequence under 7 other names. The record is from RNAcentral.